This 253-nucleotide ribosomal RNA is filed under the name uncultured bacterium. RNAcentral's name for it is "partial 16S ribosomal RNA". It matches the Rfam family "Bacterial small subunit ribosomal RNA", at positions 524 to 776 of the family's 1533-position model. The record is from RNAcentral.
UACGAAGGGGGCUAGCGUUGCUCGGAAUUACUGGGCGUAAAGGGCGCGUAGGCGGCCAGUUUAGUCAGAGGUGAAAGCCCAGGGCUCAACCUUGGAAUUGCCUUUGAUACUGGCUGUCUUGAGUUCGGGAGAGGUGAGUGGAAUGCCGAGUGUAGAGGUGAAAUUCGUAGAUAUUCGGCGGAACACCAGUGGCGAAGGCGACUCACUGGCCCGAUACUGACGCUGAGGCGCGAAAGCGUGGGGAGCAAACAGG